RNAcentral lists this ribosomal RNA (578 nucleotides) under Epitheca princeps. RNAcentral's name for it is "partial 12S ribosomal RNA". Lineage: Eukaryota; Metazoa; Arthropoda; Insecta; Odonata; Corduliidae. The record is from RNAcentral.
GAAUAAGUAAAUAUUUUUGGUUUAAUAGUUAAAUUAAUUUUAUUAUUUAUAUUCAAUAUUUUUAGGUGAAAUUUUAAUUUUGAUUAUAUUUAUUUUAAUUGAAGCUAUGAAAUUUAUAUUAAAAACAAGGAUUAGAUACCCUUUUUUUUAAAUGUUAAUAUUAACCAGGGUAGUAAUAGUUAUGUUCUUGAAACCCAAAGAAUUUGGCGGUAUUUUAUUCUUUUUAGAGGAACCUGUCCUGUAAUCGAUAUUCCACGAGGAUAUUUACUUGUUUUUGCUUUCAGUUUGUAUACCUCCGUCAUAAGAGUAUCUUUUUAGAGUAAAUAUUCUAUUAAUAUUAAAUAUAAAAUGUCAGGUCAAGGUGCAACUAAUAAAUAAGGAGAGAUGGGUUACAAUAAAUUUAUUUAUACGGAUUGUGAAAUUUAUUCUCAUAUGAAGGUGGAUUUAAAAGUAAAUUUAAUUUCUUAUUAAUUUGAUUUUGGCUCUAAAAUAUGCACACAUCGCCCGUCGCUCUUAUUUUAAGGUAAGAUAAGUCGUAACAUAGUAGGGGUAUCGGAAGAUGUCUCUAGAAAGUUAAU